UACGUAGGUGGCAAGCGUUGUCUGGAUUUAUUGGGUUUAAAGGGUGCGUAGGCGGCUUUGUAAGUCAGUGGUGAAAUAUGGCAGCUCAACUGUCAGAUUGCCAAUGAUACUGCAGAGCUUGAGUACAGAUGAGGUAGGCGGAAUUGACGGUGUAGCGGUGAAAUGCUUAGAUAUCGUCAAGAACACCUAUAGCGAAGGCAACUUACUAGGCUGUAACUGACGCUGAGGCACGAAAGUGUGGGGAUCAAACAGG
This 253-nucleotide ribosomal RNA is filed under the name uncultured bacterium. RNAcentral describes it as "partial 16S ribosomal RNA". It matches the Rfam family "Bacterial small subunit ribosomal RNA", at positions 524 to 776 of the family's 1533-position model. The record is from RNAcentral.